This 462-nucleotide ribosomal RNA is filed under the name uncultured bacterium. RNAcentral's name for it is "partial 16S ribosomal RNA". It matches the Rfam family "Bacterial small subunit ribosomal RNA", at positions 28 to 507 of the family's 1533-position model. The record is from RNAcentral.
GAUAAACGCUGGCGGCGUGCUUAACACAUGCAAGUCGAACGAAGUUUUUCUUUCGGGAGGAACUUAGUGGCGGACGGGUGAGUAACGCGUGGGUAACCUGCCCUGUACAGGGGGACAACAGCUGGAAACGGCUGCUAAUACCGCAUAAGCCCUUAGCACUGCAUGGUGCAUAGGGAAAAGGAGCAAUCCGGUACAGGAUGGACCCGCGUCUGAUUAGCCAGUUGGCAGGGUAACGGCCUACCAAAGCGACGAUCAGUAGCCGAUCUGAGAGGAUGUACGGCCACAUUGGGACUGAGACACGGCCCAGACUCCUACGGGAGGCAGGAGUGGGGAAUAUUGCACAAUGGAGGAAACUCUGAUGCAGCGACGCCGCGUGAGUGAAGAAGUAUUUCGGUAUGUAAAGCUCUAUCAGCAGGAAAGAAAAUGACGGUACCUGACUAAGAAGCACCGGCUAAAUACGUG